This 461-nucleotide ribosomal RNA is filed under the name uncultured bacterium. RNAcentral's name for it is "partial 16S ribosomal RNA". It matches the Rfam family "Bacterial small subunit ribosomal RNA", at positions 338 to 795 of the family's 1533-position model. The record is from RNAcentral.
CCUACGGGUGGCAGCAGUGAGGAAUAUUGGUCAAUGGGCUUACGCCUGAACCAGCCAAGUCGCGUGAGGGAAGACUGCCCUAUGGGUUGUAAACCUCUUUUGUCAGGGAGCAAUUGGCGCUACGUGUAGCGUUAUCGAGAGUACCUGAAGAAAAAGCAUCGGCUAACUCCGUGCCAGCAGCCGCGGUAAUACGGAGGAUGCGAGCGUUAUCCGGAUUUAUUGGGUUUAAAGGGUGCGUAGGCGGAAUGCCAAGUCAGCGGUAAAAUCGCGGGGCUCAACCCGCGGACGGCACAUGAUACUGCGAGACUAGAGUAAUGGAGGGGGAACCGGAAUUCUCGGUGUAGCAGUGAAAUGCGUAGAUAUCGAGAGGAACACUCGUGGCGAAGGCGGGUUCCUGGACAUUAACUGACGCUGAGGCACGAAGGCCAGGGGAGCGAAAGGGAUUAGAUACCCUGGUAGUC